RNAcentral lists this ribosomal RNA (497 nucleotides) under uncultured bacterium. RNAcentral describes it as "partial 16S ribosomal RNA". It matches the Rfam family "Bacterial small subunit ribosomal RNA", at positions 28 to 507 of the family's 1533-position model. The record is from RNAcentral.
GAUGAACGCUGGCGGCGUGCCUAAUACAUGCAAGUCGAGCGAACAGACGAGGAGCUUGCUCCUCUGACGUUAGGGGCAGACGGGUGAGUAACACGUGGAUAACCUACCUAUAAGAGUGGGAUCACUUCGGGAAACCGGCGCUAAUACCGGAUAACAUCUUGAACCGCAUGGUUCGACGGUAAGAGACGGUCUUGCUGGCACUUAUAGAUGGAUCCGCGCCGCAUUAGCUAGUUGGUAAGGUAACGGCCUACCAAGGCUACGAUGCGUAGACGACGUGAUAGGGUGGUAGGCGACACUGGAACGUGGACACGCUCCAGACUCCUACGGGAGGCAGCAGUAUGGAAUCGUCCGCAAUAGUGGAAAGCAUUACGGAGCGACGGCGCGUGUGUUAUGAAGGUCUUCGGAUCGUAAAACUCUGUUAUGAGGGAAGAACAAAUGUGUAAGUAACUAUGCACUGCGUGACGGUACCUAAUCAGAAAGCCACGGCUAACUACGUG